UUCGUUUUGAGGGUUCUGAGGCUUUUCCAGAAGGUGCUGGAUCCGUCCCGAGGGUGCUGAGUGCCUUUCCGAAGGUGCUGAGCUCAUUCCAGAAGGUGCUGGAUUUGUUUUGAGGCAGCCCCAGGUGUGAGGUUGAUGAGGAGCGGGUGGGUCCUGCCCGGGGCUGUUUUAGGGGGAGGGUUUCCCUCAGUUCGCUUGGGCACGGAGCAGCUGGAGAAGAGGGGUUUAUGGUGGGCUCCCCGGGGGUGUCUCAUGGAACGAUACCGGGAGCAUCUUGUAGGGUCUGGGAGAGCAGCUGGAUGCACUUGGCUGUGGGUGCGGAGGAGCCUGGCGAGCCCGAGAUCCCGGCUCUCCCCUAGAGACAAGAUACUUCUCUGUAAGAGAGACACAAUGUAUCGCUGCCAGGGAUCUUUGCGUUAGAUAUGUUAAACUGCAGUGCCCCAUUGGUGUUCCCCCCUGCUGUCCCACCCCGAUACAGGUAUCUCGGGCUUCCCCCCGCCCCUCUCCUCUCCUAUAAAUAUCCCGGGUUUUCCCCUUUUCGGUAGUUUAGCUGUUGCUGGCACCCUUCAGCAAAGCUCUGCCUGAAUAAAGGUUUGUACUUAGCGAAACGCUGGACCAGCUUUCUCGUCCGUGCUUCCCGUGUCGUCUGCCCGCCACCGCUGAGCUGAAAUCACUCGAGACCGUCUGAAGCUGCUCACACGCGCUUCGGCCCAGUCCUUUUCAGGGCUGCCUCUAGAGAAGUCGCGGUGCUCCGGGCUUUCCGUCGCUGCGGCAACUGGACACGGAGCAUUGCUUCAAGGAGGUGCCGAGGGACAAACCUUUGUGUCUGGAAGCAGCAUCUGAGCAGGGUCAAAUACGAGUGGCAAAUCAACGUUGGCAUGGAUGUGCCGGAGGAGAGGAGUUUCUGGUGGGCUCCCAGUGGCAUCUGAUGGAGUGAUGGUGAGAGCAUCUCAUAGGGUCUGGGGGAGCACCUGGAUGCACUUGGAUGUGGAGCACCGCUUAAAGGAGAUGUCCCUCCCCGGUGCCCUCAAUCUGUCACAAGAAUUCCAAGGAAAAAAAAAAGGCUGAGGAAACAGUGAAAAGAAGGGGUAUAGGUAA
Long non-coding RNA from Poecile atricapillus (Black-capped chickadee), 1098 nucleotides. RefSeq lists it as uncharacterized. The transcript is spliced from 3 exons. The record is from RefSeq and is a predicted model, not a curated record. Lineage: Eukaryota; Metazoa; Chordata; Aves; Passeriformes; Paridae.